Long non-coding RNA from Saccostrea cuccullata (small rock oyster), 517 nucleotides. RefSeq lists it as uncharacterized. Lineage: Eukaryota; Metazoa; Mollusca; Bivalvia; Ostreida; Ostreidae. The transcript has 2 exons. The record is from RefSeq and is a predicted model, not a curated record.
UGUACUUGUUCUAUUUUUAUCAACGUAUACUCGUCAAGCCCGUUUGAGUAGUAUGGUCAGUUAUUUAUACUGCUGGGUGUUGGCUAGUGUUUGUCAGAUGAGGUCUGGACGCCGGGAGUUAUACUUUACCCAUGCUGAGUGAUCGUGGGUGUGCCUUUUAUAUUACCCAUGCUGUGUGAACUUGGGUGUGUUAUGUUCCCCGCUGUGUGAUCUUGGGAUUCAGGGAUGUUUUGUAGCAGUGUUGAGAGCAAGACCUGGGGGCCGACAGUAUGAUUUUUAUGUAUAAAAUGCCACAGCUCAGUGACCAAAAUUGUAUAUUAAGCUUUUGUUCUGGACGGGAGGAUUGGUGUAUGUGGUGAGGCUACUUUUAGGAUAUGAUGGACCCGAAGGGACAAUAUGGUGGACCAUACAUUGCGACGUGGUGUGAAGUGUGAAUCUGUCCAGUGAUGACCAUGAUUGAACUUUUCGCCGUUUUCAUGUUUAUUGUACAUAUGUAGAUAAAUUUAUUGUUAAUUAU